UACAGAGACUGCAAGCGUUAUUCGGAUUCACUGGGCGUAAAGGGUGCGCAGGCGGCCGAGUGUGUGAGGCGUGAAAGCCCGGGGCUUAACCCCGGAAGUGCACCUCAAACUACACGGCUAGAGCAUUGGAGAGGGUAGCAGAAUUCAUGGUGUAGCAGUGAAAUGCGUAGAUAUCAUGAGGAAUACCAGAGGCGAAGGCGGCUACCUGGACAAUUGCUGACGCUCAGGCACGAAAGCGUGGGGAGCAAAAGGG
This 253-nucleotide ribosomal RNA is filed under the name uncultured bacterium. RNAcentral describes it as "partial 16S ribosomal RNA". It matches the Rfam family "Bacterial small subunit ribosomal RNA", at positions 524 to 776 of the family's 1533-position model. The record is from RNAcentral.